This 1372-nucleotide ribosomal RNA is filed under the name uncultured bacterium. RNAcentral's name for it is "bacterial SSU rRNA". It matches the Rfam family "Bacterial small subunit ribosomal RNA", at positions 28 to 1381 of the family's 1533-position model. The record is from RNAcentral.
GAUGAACGCUGGCGGCGUGCCUAAUACAUGCAAGUCGAGCGAACGGACGAGAAGCUUGCUUCUCUGAUGUUAGCGGCGGACGGGUGAGUAACACGUGGAUAACCUACCUAUAAGACUGGGAUAACUUCGGGAAACCGGAGCUAAUACCGGAUAAUAUUUUGAACCGCAUGGUUCAAAAGUGAAAGACGGUCUUGCUGUCACUUAUAGAUGGAUCCGCGCUGCAUUAGCUAGUUGGUAAGGUAACGGCUUACCAAGGCAACGAUGCAUAGCCGACCUGAGAGGGUGAUCGGCCACACUGGAACUGAGACACGGUCCAGACUCCUACGAGAGGCAGCAGUAGGGAAUCUUCCGCAAUGGGCGAAAGCCUGACGGAGCAACGCCGCGUGAGUGAUGAAGGUCUUCGGAUCGUAAAACUCUGUUAUUAGGGAAGAACAUAUGUGUAAGUAACUGUGCACAUCUUGACGGUACCUAAUCAGAAAGCCACGGCUAACUACGUGCCAGCAGCCGCGGUAAUACGUAGGUGGCAAGCGUUAUCCGGAAUUAUUGGGCGUAAAGCGCGCGUAGGCGGUUUUUUAAGUCUGAUGUGAAAGCCCACGGCUCAACCGUGGAGGGUCAUUGGAAACUGGAAAACUUGAGUGCAGAAGAGGAAAGUGGAAUUCCAUGUGUAGCGGUGAAAUGCGCAGAGAUAUGGAGGAACACCAGUGGCGAAGGCGACUUUCUGGUCUGUAACUGACGCUGAUGUGCGAAAGCGUGGGGAUCAAACAGGAUUAGAUACCCUGGUAGUCCACGCCGUAAACGAUGAGUGCUAAGUGUUAGGGGGUUUCCGCCCCUUAGUGCUGCAGCUAACGCAUUAAGCACUCCGCCUGGGGAGUACGACCGCAAGGUUGAAACUCAAAGGAAUUGACGGGGACCCGCACAAGCGGUGGAGCAUGUGGUUUAAUUCGAAGCAACGCGAAGAACCUUACCAAAUCUUGACAUCCUUUGACAACUCUAGAGAUAGAGCCUUCCCCUUCGGGGGACAAAGUGACAGGUGGUGCAUGGUUGUCGUCAGCUCGUGUCGUGAGAUGUUGGGUUAAGUCCCGCAACGAGCGCAACCCUUAAGCUUAGUUGCCAUCAUUAAGUUGGGCACUCUAAGUUGACUGCCGGUGACAAACCGGAGGAAGGUGGGGAUGACGUCAAAUCAUCAUGCCCCUUAUGAUUUGGGCUACACACGUGCUACAAUGGACAAUACAAAGGGCAGCGAAACCGCGAGGUCAAGCAAAUCCCAUAAAGUUGUUCUCAGUUCGGAUUGUAGUCUGCAACUCGACUACAUGAAGCUGGAAUCGCUAGUAAUCGUAGAUCAGCAUGCUACGGUGAAUACGUUCCCGGGUCU